This 1745-nucleotide long non-coding RNA is filed under the name Olea europaea subsp. europaea. Lineage: Eukaryota; Viridiplantae; Streptophyta; Magnoliopsida; Lamiales; Oleaceae. The record is from RNAcentral.
AACCAUUUCAUUUUCGUUUCACAAGCAAACAUUUGUUAAGCUUCCAAAAUCGAAGGUUGCCACCGUUCUCGCCGCCUACUCUACUAUCGGAAAAGGUAAUUUUUAUGUGAUGAAAGUAAAUUUGGAAUUUAUUUAUGCUAUAAAGAAUAUAUAGUUUAGCCAAUAAGAAAUUUAGCAACUACUGUUAUGUUAAAAAAUCAAGCAAAACAUUUAUACAUUAUACUUUUGAAACCUUUCCCAAUUCAAACUUGAGCCUACAAUGUUAAGUAUUCAAACAUUUUAGGAUCGAUUGUUUCAGCAUGCUACAUGGCUAUGUUGAAUUGAUCUUUUUUUUUUUUUUAAGAUUUUUUUGAUUUAACACAAAUAAUAAUUUUAAAUUUGUACUUUUUUACGUGAAAAAAGAAAAAUAGUUAAACUUCAAGCUGCUAAUUUUAACUUUGUUCUUAAAGUUUAGAACUAACCACUCUAUGCAGUGCGAAGUGUUUGGUGAAAUACUCCGCACACCAAACACUCCGCAGCUUAAAGUUUAGAACUAACCACUCUACGCAGUGCGAAGUGUUUGGUGAAAUACUCCGCGCACCAAACACUCUGCACUGCGUAGAGUGAUAGUCACUUUGCGCUGAGCGGAAUGUCACGGAGUGUCCAAUUUUCUUUUUUCUUUUUUUUCUUGGUACAUAUUUUUGGUAAUUUAGCUAUAACUUUGGCUAUGAUUAUCAGAAUCGCGCCCAUGACCCCAAUUCGAAAAGCUCUUUUCUAUGCGCAAGUCGUGGCCAACAGCUUCUUUGGGUGGGCAUCAUUUUCGUCAAAAUCCGCUAUUUUCCCUUCCAAAUCCCCAAUUAUAGUUAUUCUCUUCCUUUUAUGGCAUCUUCUAUGAAAACAUACUUUCUAUCGUUCUAAAUAUUUAUCAUACAUCAAAAAAAAUAAUAAUAAUAAUUGACAUCAUACACUUUUUUAAAAAAAAAUAAUGUAAAUUAUAUUGAGAAAAUUAUUACGUAAAAAUAAUAAACAUUAAAAAAAAUUGAUUUUUUAGGGAAAAAAAGACAAGUUAUACUUAUUUUUGAACACACACAUUUAAUAUACGUUUAACUAUCUUUGAUAUUCAUUUAGACAAUUCGAUGUGUCCAUGAUAUAGUUCUUGAACUGAGCUUUAAGAGAAUAUAAAACAUUUAUGAAUUCGACUACCGUAUAAUCGUUAACGAAUUUUUAAAAUUAGCUUGUUAUCGAAAUUUUUAAUUUUUUAAAUGAUAUCUCUUUUUACAAUAAAAAUAAUUUAAAAGUUAUUAGGAAUUUUUUAAAUCACGUCAAACAUUUUAUUAAAUUAUUUACAAAAUUAGUUUUGCAGUAGUGGUGAUAUAUUAAUUAAGUUGAAAAAUUAAAAUAGGAUUGAAGGAUAAAAUGGAAAAAUGAAAAUACUUCACAAAUGAAAAGUAAAUGGCAUAUUCAUUCUUACAGUGUAGUGGGAAUAGAAAAAAUAGGAAAAAUAUAUCGAAAAAAUCACUAAGAAUAGGUAAGUUAAAGACUUUGAUGAAAAUACCAUGAUAUGCUUAGAUUUUUUAAAUUUUACACCAUCAUAAAGAUAUUUUGGACAUUCCAAACAAUUUUUGACAAUACUGUUUAUUAAAUAAUUCAAAAACUACUAUCUAUCAAAUUCCUAUUUGCAUUUAACCAUAAUUUCACUUUGAGCUCUCUUCUUCUCUGUCUUUAACCUUAAUUUCAAUCUCCCUCUCUCAAUAUUUAACUUUUAC